CAUUCGGGCUGCGGUUAAUGAUUAUGUUUCAGCAGUGAAGAAAAUGUCCUGUGAUAUUCUUGAAAUGUUGGCGGAGGGAUUAAAGAUUUAUCCGACGAAUGUUUUCAGUAAGCUUUUGAUGGACGAAAAUAGCGACUCCGUUUUCAGGCUGAAUCACUAUCCGCCAUGCUCAGAGAUUGAACGAUUGAACGAUAAUAAUAAUGAUUUGAUUGGAUUUGG
This 219-nucleotide unclassified non-coding RNA is filed under the name Hevea brasiliensis (rubber tree). Lineage: Eukaryota; Viridiplantae; Streptophyta; Magnoliopsida; Malpighiales; Euphorbiaceae. The record is from RNAcentral.